This 402-nucleotide ribosomal RNA is filed under the name uncultured Pseudomonadota bacterium. Its description in RNAcentral is "uncultured proteobacterium partial 16S ribosomal RNA". It matches the Rfam family "Bacterial small subunit ribosomal RNA", at positions 355 to 774 of the family's 1533-position model. Lineage: Bacteria; Pseudomonadati; Pseudomonadota. The record is from RNAcentral.
UGGGGAAUUUUGGACAAUGGGGGAAACCCUGAUCCAGCAAUGCCGCGUGAGUGAAGAAGGCCUUCGGGUUGUAAAGCUCUUUUAUUGAUGAAGAUGAUGACGGUAAUCAAAGAAUAAGUUCCGGCAAACUUCGUGCCAGCAGCCGCGGUAAUACGAAGGGAACUAGCGUUGUUCGGAAUCACUGGGCGUAAAGCGCAAGUAGGUUGUUAAUUAAGUCAGUUGUGAAAUCCUGGUUCUCAAGAUCAGAACAGCAAUUGAAACUGAAUAACUAGAGUACAGAAGGGGAUAGUGGAAUUCCAAGUGUAGCAGUGAAAUGCGUAGAUAUUUGGAGGAACACCAGAAGCGAAGGCGUCUAUCUGGUCUGUAACUGACACUGAGUUGCGAAAGCAUGGGGAGCAAACA